UCCCAGGUGUCGCCGCUUCCUGCUGCA
RNAcentral lists this non-coding RNA (27 nucleotides) under Homo sapiens (human). The record is from RNAcentral. Lineage: Eukaryota; Metazoa; Chordata; Mammalia; Primates; Hominidae.